RNAcentral lists this ribosomal RNA (506 nucleotides) under uncultured bacterium. Its description in RNAcentral is "partial 16S ribosomal RNA". It matches the Rfam family "Bacterial small subunit ribosomal RNA", at positions 29 to 523 of the family's 1533-position model. The record is from RNAcentral.
AGUGAACGCUGGCGGUAGGCCUAACACAUGCAAGUCGAACGGCAGCACAGAGGAGCUUGCUCCUUGGGUGGCGAGUGGCGGACGGGUGAGGAAUACAUCGGAAUCUACUCUGUCGUGGGGGAUAACGUAGGGAAACUUACGCUAAUACCGCAUACGACCUACGGGUGAAAGCAGGGGAUCUUCGGACCUUGCGCGAUUGAAUGAGCCGAUGUCGGAUUAGCUAGUUGGCGGGGUAAAGGCCCACCAAGGCGACGAUCCGUAGCUGGUCUGAGAGGAUGAUCAGCCACACUGGAACUGAGACACGGUCCAGACUCCUACAGGAGGCAGCAGUGGGGAAUAUUGGACAAUGGGCGCAAGCCUGAUCCAGCCAUACCGCGUGGGUGAAGAAGGCCUUCGGGUUGUAAAGCCCUUUUGUUGGGAAAGAAAUCCAUCUGGUUACUACCCGGGUGGGAUGACGGUACCCAAAGAAUAAGCACCGGCUAACUUCGUGCCAGCAGCCGCGGUAA